RNAcentral lists this ribosomal RNA (497 nucleotides) under uncultured bacterium. RNAcentral describes it as "partial 16S ribosomal RNA". It matches the Rfam family "Bacterial small subunit ribosomal RNA", at positions 28 to 507 of the family's 1533-position model. The record is from RNAcentral.
GAUGAACGCUGGCGGCGUGCCUAAUACAUGCAAGUCGAGCGAACAGACGAGGAGCUUGCUCCUCUGACGUUAGCGGCGGACGGGUGAGUAACACGUGGAUAACCUACCUAUAAGACUGGGAUAACUUCGGGAAACCGGAGCUAAUACCGGAUAACAUGUUGAACCGCAUGGUUCAACAGUGAAAGACGGUCUUGCUGUCACUUAUAGAUGGAUCCGCGCCGCAUUAGCUAGUUGGUAAGGUAACGGCUUACCAAGGCAACGAUGCGUAGCCGACCUGAGAGGGUGAUCGGCCAAACUGGAACUGAGAAACGGUCCAGACUCCUACGGGAGGCAGCAGUAGGGAAUCUUCAGCAAUGGGCGAAAGCCUGACGGAGCAACGCAGCGUGAGUGAAGAAGGUCUUCGGAUCGUAAAACUCUGUUAUUAGGGAAGAACAAAUGUGUAAGUAACUAUGCACGUCUUGACGGUACCUAAUCAGAAAGCCACGGCUAACUACGUG